Molecule: non-coding RNA, 926 nt
Organism: Macaca mulatta (Rhesus monkey)
Lineage: Eukaryota; Metazoa; Chordata; Mammalia; Primates; Cercopithecidae
Source: RefSeq, a predicted model, not a curated record
AAUGAUACUGAAAGAGCCAAAAAUAUGACAGCAGAGAUUAAAUGUCAAGCCAGAUUUAUCUUGUGUGACCAUUUCUGGAUGAUGUAAAAUAGCACACUAUCUUUAGUUUGGAAGCAUAUUAAUUUAUCUGGAUUUUUUUUUACUUGAGGGGUAAACUCAUGUUGAGGAUUUCAUUAAAAAUGGGUAAUUCAAUCCAACAACUAGACCUUAUGUGGGGUGAUUCUUUUUUACUUUAAGGUGGGAGGGCAAAGAGUGUUUUUCAAAAACUAAUUUCCUAAUUUUCAAUUUCUAGAGAUCUUUUAAAGCCAUCAGAACUAUUGCUGCCUAAGACAUGCAUGGCAAAUAAAAGUGUCUCACUGGAUUUCAAAUAAGGGGAAUAAUCAAUGUUAAGUGCUGCCUUGUUAGAUUUCUUCCUGAUUUUUUUGAAGCUCCGCUUCUUCUGUUUCAGAGCUAUGUUUCCCCAGUGGGCUACCACAUCUCUGGGUUUCCAGUACUUGGAAUUUUGCUUCCCAGUUGCAGAGCUAAGAAGCCAAUUCACAUUCCAUCGUUGUCCUAAAGUCUUUUUCCUAUUUUGAAUAUCCCAUCUUGUCUGGAUUUAUCAAGGGGGCUUGAAAAAUUUGUGCAGUGUUCCAAAAGCAGAGUAAAGGAGGAAAGGCCAGGAAGUAUGGGAGAGAGCCAGGCAAGUGGUGAGAGCCAAGAGUUCAGAUUUAUAACUUCAGGUGGCCUGCACCAGACCCACAGGGCAGUAACAGUCUUCCACUGAAUUCUUUAGCAGUUUUUACAAUUGCGUAAGGAUGUCACAUUGUGCUUAGACAUUCUCAGUUUGUGAAAAAUUAUGAGGUUCAUGAACCCCCUGAGAAGCCCACCUUGGAAAUGAAGAUGUCUAUUGAGAGAGAAAAUGGUCUCAUAUUUCAGGUAAUGCAAAA